AGAAUCAACGCUGGCGGCGUGCCUAACACAUGCAAGUCGAACGAGAAAGUGGAGCAAUCCAUGAGUAAAGUGGCGACCGGGUGAGUAACACGUGACUAACCUACCUUCGAGUGGGGAUAACCUCGGGAAACCGAGGCUAAUACCGCAUAACAUCGCAAGAUCAAAGCAGCAAUGCGCUGGAAGAGGGGGUCGCGGCUGAUUAGCUAGUUGGCGGGUAACGCCCACCAAGGCGAAGAUCGGUA
RNAcentral lists this ribosomal RNA (242 nucleotides) under uncultured bacterium. RNAcentral's name for it is "partial small subunit ribosomal RNA". It matches the Rfam family "Bacterial small subunit ribosomal RNA", at positions 26 to 285 of the family's 1533-position model. The record is from RNAcentral.